GACGAACGCUGGCGGCGUGCUUAACACAUGCAAGUCGAGCGAGGCCCCUCCUUCGGGAGGGUGUCCUAGCGGCGAACGGGUGAGUAACACGUGGGCAACCUGCCCUCAGCUCUGGGAUAACUCCGGGAAACCGGGGCUAAUACCGGAUACGACCUCCACGGGCAUCUGCGGAGGUGGAAAGUUUUUCGGCUGAGGAUGGGCCCGCGGCCUAUCAGCUAGUUGGUGGGGUAGUGGCCCACCAAGGCGACGACGGGUAGCCGGCCUGAGAGGGCGACCGGCCACACUAGGACUGAGACACGGCCCAGACUCCUACGGGAGGCAGCAGUGGGGAAUAUUGCGCAAUGGGCGAAAGCCUGACGCAGCGACGCCGCGUGAGGGACGAAGGCCUUCGGGUUGUAAACCUCUUUCAGCAGGGACGAAGCGAAAGUGACGGUACCUGCAGAAGAAGCACCGGCCAACUACGUG
RNAcentral lists this ribosomal RNA (465 nucleotides) under uncultured bacterium. RNAcentral describes it as "partial 16S ribosomal RNA". It matches the Rfam family "Bacterial small subunit ribosomal RNA", at positions 28 to 507 of the family's 1533-position model. The record is from RNAcentral.